CCUACGGGAGGCAGCAGUGGGGGAUAUUGCACAAUGGGGGGAACCCUGAUGCAGCGACGCCGCGUGGGUGAAGAAGCGCCUCGGCGCGUAAAGCCCUGUCAGCAGGGAAGAAAAUGACGGUACCUGAAGAAGAAGCCCCGGCUAACUACGUGCCAGCAGUCGCGGUCAUACGUAGGGGGCAAGCGUUAUCCGGAUUUACUGGGUGUAAAGGGGGCGCAGACGGCGAUGCAAGCCAGUGGUGAAAGCCCGGGGCACAACCCCGGGACUGCUCUUGGAACUGCGUGGCUGGAGUGCAGGAGGGGCAGGCGGAAUUCCUGGUGUAGCGGUGAAAGGCGUAGAUAUCAGGAGGAAAACCGGUGGCGAAGGCGGCCUGCGGGACUGCAACUGACGUUGAGGCCCGAAAGCGUGGGGAGCAAACAGGAUUAGAUACCCUGGUAGC
This 439-nucleotide ribosomal RNA is filed under the name uncultured bacterium. RNAcentral's name for it is "partial 16S ribosomal RNA". It matches the Rfam family "Bacterial small subunit ribosomal RNA", at positions 338 to 794 of the family's 1533-position model. The record is from RNAcentral.